RNAcentral lists this long non-coding RNA (487 nucleotides) under Homo sapiens (human). RNAcentral describes it as "HSALNT0315296". Lineage: Eukaryota; Metazoa; Chordata; Mammalia; Primates; Hominidae. The record is from RNAcentral.
CUGAAUUGCAAAUAUAUACAUAAUAUAUUUUUAAUAUAAAUAUAUAUCUGUGGUAUUUAUAUAUAUAUAUUAACAGCUUUUUCAAUUGCUUUGUACUGUGAACAUAAUUUAUUAUUUGCUAGCCUUAUUUGUUAAGUCAGAGGAAAUUUCAGAGCCAUGAGGGUUACAGAAUGAGAGGAUUUCUAAUGAGCUCAAUGUGUUCUAAAUGGUUUUAUGUGAUUCCCAGGUUUGCUUCAUCAGAAUCCAUAGGUUCUCAAGUGGCGCUCCUCCUUGUGCUCGCAGAACCCCGCUUAUUGACUCUACAGAUACUUUUUGCAGAAAAUGGCUGCCUCUUUGCUGUCUACUGUGACUCUUCAACUAGGAAAGAACCAAAUAGAUUUAACCUACUCAACUCGACACUUCUGAACAAAAAAGAAUGCAGAAUAUAUAGCACCAACCAGGCGACCUGGAAGCAUACUUCUGGUAGCAAUGGGGACACGGGUCAAAG